This 512-nucleotide ribosomal RNA is filed under the name uncultured bacterium. RNAcentral's name for it is "bacterial SSU rRNA". It matches the Rfam family "Bacterial small subunit ribosomal RNA", at positions 370 to 873 of the family's 1533-position model. The record is from RNAcentral.
AAUCGGUGAAAACUUGAUCCAACAAUGCCGCGUGUGUGAAGAAGGCCUGCGGGUUGUAAAGCACUUUCUUCGGGGAGGAAAAGCGUCGGGCGAAUAACCCGGCGUCUUGACGUUUCCUGAAGAAAAGAAGCACCGGCAAACUUCGUGCCAGCAGCCGCGGUAAUACGAAGGGUGCAAGCGUUAUUCGGAAUCAUUGGGCGUAAAGGGCUCGCAGGCGGCCGGGUAAGUCGGGUGUGAAAUCCCUGGGCUCAACCCAGGAAUGGCAUCCGAUACUGCUUGGCUUGAGUCCGGUAGAGGGCAGUGGAAUUCCCGGGGUAGCGGUGAAAUGCGUAGAUAUCGGGAAGAACACCAGUGGCGAAGGCGACUUCCUGGACCGAGACUGACGCUCAGGGGGGAAAGCGUGGGGAGCAACGAGGAUUAAAUACCCUCGUAGUCCCCCCCGUAAACGUUGGGGAUUAGCCGUUGGCCGCUUUGAUGGGGUUAGUGCCGCAGCUAACGCGUAAUCCUCCGCC